RNAcentral lists this long non-coding RNA (7386 nucleotides) under Citrus x clementina. RNAcentral describes it as "Citrus clementina (C. clementina) long non-coding RNA (CCLE_LNC000760)". The record is from RNAcentral. Lineage: Eukaryota; Viridiplantae; Streptophyta; Magnoliopsida; Sapindales; Rutaceae.
UUUCUAGUAGUAUCUCAAAAUAUAGUCGAUCUUAAUCUACUCAGAACUUAUUGUUGUUGAGCUGGCCUCAUAAGUACAACCUGAAGCCUAUGUUGACGACCUGGUUUACAAGUACGACCUAAGAUCUAUGUGAAUGAUCUAGUUUAAGAAUACAACCUCAACGCUAUAUGAGCGACUGAGAAAUUCAUCUGUCUGAUAUGAAAAUGAAGUAAUCCGACCUUGAAAUUCUCUUGUCCGACCUGAGAAUUAGUUUGACAUAAAAAAUUGCUAGUUAAGAGAACGUGGCCUAAUUUAUAGGGAAGUUGUGUGCCACGAUCUAUUUAAACCACCUCCAACUGACAACCACUUGCAACUGCUGAAGAAAGCGGGCUGAAGUUAAGGAGGUAACCGUACACGACGAAAAGUCUAUUUAAACUGAAGAGCGCAUCAGGUGAAAGGGUUAGAAAAAAUCAACCAAAAACUCUAGAAGUGACCUAUCUAAGAGCCUUAACAGAGCUUACCAGAUUUUGAGUUCUUAGAUCGGAAAAUUCCUUUCUUUUGAACCCAUUCACAAUUCUUCCCUCUCAUUUUCAUCUCUUUAUACAAAAUUUCUGACUUAAGCAUCGGAGGGUCUGCGCCGGAACCCCACCGGCGUAUCCUAACCGUGUUUUCUGGUUGACAGGUACAGAAAAUUGUGGUCAUAUUGGCGUUUGAGCUUGGAUUCGUACUGUAAUUCCCCUAAAGAAACAAAUUCAGCUGUUGAGAUCGUUUUUCGGCAUCAACAUCUUGGCGCCGUCUGUGGGGAACGGUGCGAAAAGCCAUACAUUUGACAAUUUAGAAGGAAGAGGCUAUCAGAUUAAGAUAUAACGAUGGAUGACAACGACGGAGAUAGGCAGACCUUGCGCCAAUUGGCGGAAGAAAUGAAUGCCACAACAGAUAAGAGAUGGAGAGAAGGGAUCGAGAGGCAAAUGGCAAAAUUUGAAGAGAUGAUUAGGGGGCUGGUUGAUGCCCAAGUCAGAGGAACUCAAGUUCGAGCUAGUGACCCAGAGAGUAGUGGAGCGCGAGAGAGAGAAGAGCUUGGUGGUGAACAGCAGAACGGAAUGGGACUACCACAAGUUGGGGUACGACAAGAGAAUAGAAGUGCAGGAGAACAAGUGAAUGAGUUGAGAGGGAGAAUCAGUGACUUAAAUCAAGAAAGGGAGAGGGAAGAGCUGAGAGACCCCCACCGGGCAAAUGAGCUUGAGCAGCGAAUGAUGCAAUUUUAAAAAACUUUAGAGGCAUUAAAGGCAAAAACAGAGGGCAAGAAAGUGGUAGGAAGGUUGUUACUUGAUAACGAGUCCCCCUUGGUACGUGAAGUGAUGGUGGUAACUUUGCCACCCAAGUAUGUGGUUCCAGCCUUGGUGUAUGAAGGCAAAACUGACCCGAAUCAUCACGUGGAGAAGUUUAAUGAGAUGACCGGGAUCCAAGGCUUGAAUGAUUUUCAAAGGUGCCGUGUUUUUCCUUUAACAUUAGAAGGACAAGCACGGGAGUGGUACCGGAGAUUAAAGAAGGGAAGCAUAGGAAAUUUCAAGGAGUUAUGUGAGCUUUUCACUGUGCAUUUUAGGGGUUCAUGCAUACCAGAGCAAGAUACGAGCAGAUUGAAAAAAAUUGGUCCAAGAAGAAUUUGAAAGUUUGAGGAGUUUUGUGACCAGGUAUCAUAAGGAGGUUACUGAUCUAGGGGCCUUUGAUCAUCCAGAUGCUCUGGAGGGAUUAAAGAAGGGGUUGAGAAUUAAUCGAUUGUGGAAUAGCUUAUAUAGUAAGGGGAUAACAACAUAUGCUGAGGCAUAUGACCAGGCAAAAUUGGACAUGAAAACUGAAGAUGCAGAGGAAGAAAAGAGAAGAAUGAAAAUGCAGACAGGGGGUCCGAUGAGAAAGGGAGACCUGAGAAUGAGAGGAGAUAGCUUUGGGUAUAGCUCGAGGAUGAACACGGGUGAUAGGCAUCAUUACGACAAAGGGUUGUUCAAUUAUAGACAACCAGAAAGGCCGGGUCGAAAUUGGGAAGGAAAUCGUGAAAGAAGAGAAAUCUCAUUAGUAGGAAGGGGCCGAGAAGGAGGAAAUAAUUAUGGGAGGAACCAACGGGAGAACCGAGUAAGAGAUUACAAUAGGUUGCCACAACCUGUAGACCGGAGAGGACCAAGAUCUAACAAUGGGGUGAAUUUAUUAGAACAGAGUGGAAGAUACACACCACUGAACACGAGCAGAGCAUAAAUAUAUGCUGCAAUAAAAGACAAGGGGUUACUAACACCGCCAAAGCAGAUUGUAGGGGGAUUGGGCGGAAGUGCUCACCACAAGUAUUGCGAGUUUCACAAGGUGACCGGACAUGGAACUGUGGAUUGCAUUGACUUGAAAGAACAGAUUGAAUGGCUAGUGCAAAAUCAAUAUCUAAAGGAGUAUGUGGAUGACCAAGGAAGAGGUGGGAGAAGAGGAGACAUCAUAGAUAAUGUAGCGAUGAUGAUUAUGGGAGGGCGGACCUUAGCAGGAGACUCAAACCGCUCAAGGAGAAAUUAUAGCAGAUAUUCAUUAAAAAGUUUUGAGGUAAAUUUUAAUGUUCCGACACCAAAGAAGCAGCGGGUUCAAAGGGUACCGAUCAUGUUCACAGACGAGGACGAGGAAGCAGUCGCACAUCCACAUGAGGAUGCGCUUGUAGUGAAGGUUGUCUUGGCAGGGCAGGAAUUGAACCGAGCUUUUGUAGAUGGGGGAAGCUCAGUCGACAUUUUAUUUAAGCAAACUCUGGACGAUCUACAAAUAGGAGACCUCAGGCUUGAUCCGGUCAGAACGUCACUAAAGGGGUUCGGUGGAGCUGAGCUGAUUCCCCUUGGGUUGAUUGACUUGCCACUGACAAUAGGGUCCAGCCCACUACAGAAGACAAUGAUGGUGACAUGGUUGGUAGUUGAUGAGCCAAGCCCUUAUCAAGUUAUUUUGGGCAGACCAUUCAAUAGGAUAGCAGGAGCAGUGAGCUCAACCCAUAUGCAAUGUGUGAAGUUUAGAGUUCAAGGUGGAGUUGGAGUGAUGAGGGGCCAGCAACAAGUGGCUCGAAGCUGUUACGCUACAGCUGCGAGAGAAUCCAUGCAGAUCAUAAGUAUCGAUCCACGAGCUGAAAAUAGGUUGUGCCAACAGCGACCUAAUGAAAAAAUGAAACAAGUGCCGGUAAGUGAGGUUGAUCCGAGCAGAGUGGUAAGAGUGGGAACAAAAAUGAUAGAUGACAUCUCCAAUGAGCUUAAGAUUUAUUGAUGGAGUUCUAGGGCCGAGCUGGGAAGGACCAUAUAAAGUGCUACACUCAUUUGGUAAUGGGGCAUAUAAGUUAGGUUAUCAGGAUGGCAGGGUCGUUGGCAAGACAUGGAAUGCAGAGCACCUGCGAAAAUACUAUCAGCUAAGAUAUAUCUUAUUUAUGAUGUUCUUAUUUGUUUGUUUUCUUUAAAUAUGCUAAGAAAGUUUGGUUCUUUGUUGUUUUAAUUUGUUAUGUGUUCAAUUCUGUAACUUUUGCUAUAUUAAUAUCAAUGAGGUUAUUUAGAAGUGCAACUUUAUUUCUUAUCUACUUUUGACCGGUCUUAUUGAGAUUGAGAUCGACAUUGCGGCCUUGUUGAUGUCCUACCUGAAAAAUUUAUCCAAUCUUAUUGAGAUUGAUAUCGACAUUGCGACCUUGUUGAGGUCCAACGUGAAAACGUUAUCCAAUCUUAUUGAGAUUGAGAUUGACAUGGCGGCCUUAUUGAGGUUUAACGUGAAAAAAUUCAUCCAAUCUUAUUAAGAUUGAGAUCGACAUUUUGGACCGUAUUGAGGUCCAACGUGAAAAGAUUUAUCCAAUCUUAUUGAGUUUGAUAUCGACAUUGCGACCUUGUUGAGGUCCAACGUGAAAACGUUAUCCAAUCUUAUUGAGAUUGAGAUCGACAUGGUGGCCUUAUUGAGGUCCAACGUGAAAAAAUCCAUCCAAUCUUAUUGAGAUCGAGAUCGACAUUGCGGCCUUAUUGAGGUCCAACAUGAAAAAAUUUAUCCAAUCUUAUAGAGAUUAAGAUCGACAUUGCGGCCUUAUUGAGGCCCUACCUAAAAAAUUUUAUCUAAUCUUAUUGAGAUUAAGAUCGACAUUGCGGUCUUGUUGAGGUCCUACCUAAAAAUUUAUCCAAUCUUAUUGAGAUUGAGAUCAACAUUGCGGCCUUGUUGAGGCCCUACCUAAAAAAUUUUAUCUAAUCUUAUUGAGAUUAAGAUCGACAUUGCGGUCUUGUUGAGGUCCUACCUAAAAAUUUAUCCAAUCUUAUUGAGAUUGAGAUCAACAUUGCGGCCUUGUUGAGGCCCUACCUAAAAAAUUUUAUCUAAUCUUAUUGAGAUUAAGAUCGACAUUGCGGUCUUGUUGAGGUCCUACCUAAAAAUUUAUCAAAUCUUAUUGAGAUUGAGGUUGUCAUUUUGACCUUGUUGAGGUCUAAUUGUAAUUCGACCAUGUUGAGAUUGAAGACGGCUAUUACCUUGUGGUUAGACAACUUUAACUUUUAUCUUGUUGAGAUCUACAUUUUUCAAUUUUAUCGAAAUUGGCUUUUAUCUUAUUUAGGUCGACCAUUUCCUUAUUGAGGUUGGCCAUAAGCUAAGUUCUACAAUUUUCUAUUUAUUGAGGUUGGCCAUUGCCCGUGGAGUUUGACCAUAGCCUAUUUUGUUGAGGUCGGCCAUUGCCUUAUUGAGGUCAGCCAUAAGAUAAGUUCUACAAUUUUCUAUUUAUUGAGGUUGGCCAUUGCCUCGUGGAGUUUAGCCAUAGCCUUAACAUUUACGUUCUACAAUGUUUUAUUUUGUUGAGGUCAAUCAUAAGCUUAACAUUUAAGUUCUUUAAUUUUCAACCUUAUUGAGGUCGACAAUCUAUCUUGUUAAGGUUGACAUUUUCGUGAGGUCAACAUUUUCCUUAUCGUGAGGUCGGCGUUUUAGCUCUACACUUAACCUUGUUGAGGUCGACAAUCUAUCUUGUUAAGGUUGACAUUUUCGUGAGGUCGACAAUCUAUCUUGUUAAGGUUGACAUUUUCGUGAGGUCGACAAUCUAUCUUGUUAAGGUUGACAUUUUCCUUAUCCUAAGGUCGGCGUUUAAGCUCUACACUUAACCUUGUUGAGGUCGACAAUCUAUCUUGUUAAGAUUGACAUUUUUAUGAGGUCAACAUUUUCCUUGUCGUGAGGUCGGCAUUUUAGCUCUACACUUAACCUUGUUGAGGUCGACAAUCUAUCUUGUUAAGAUUGACAUUUUCGUGAGGUCAACAUUUUCCUUAUCCUGAGGUCGGCGUUUAAGCUCUACACUUAACCUUGUUGAGGUCGAUAAUCUAUUUUGUUAAGGUUGACAUUUUCGUGAGGUGAACAUUUUCCUUAUCCUGAGGUCGGCGUUUAAGCUCUACACUUAACCUUGUUGAGGUCGACAAUCUAUUUUGUUAAGGUUGACAUUUUCGUGAGGUCAAUAUUUUCCUUGUCGUGAGAUCGUGAGGUCGGCCAUUGCCUUGUUGAGGUCGAUCAUAAGCUUAACAUUUAAGUUCUAUAAUUUUCAACAUUGUUGAGGUCGACAAUCUAUCUUGUUAAGGUUGACAUUUUCGUGAGGUCAACAUUUUCCUUAUCGUGAGGUCGGCGUUUUAGCUCUACACUUAACUUUGUUGAGGUCGACAAUCUAUCUUGUUAAGGUUGACAUUUUAUGAGGUCAACAUUUUCCUUGUUGUGAGGUCGGCGUUUUAGCUCUACACUUAACCUUGUUGAGGUCGACAAUCUAUUUUGUUAAGGUUGACACUUUCGUGAGGUCAACAUUCUCUUUGUUGUGAGAUCGUGAGGUCGGCGUUUUAGCUUUAUACUUAACCUUGUUGAGGUCAACAAUCUAUUUUGUUAAGGUCGACACUUUCGUGAGGUCAACAUUCUCCUUGUUGUGAGAUCGUGAGGUCGGCGUUUUAGCUUUACACUUAACCUUGUUGAGGUCGACAAUUUAUUUUUGAUAAGGUUGACAUUUUUGUGAGGUCAACAUUUUCCUUAUCGAGAUUGACAUCGAAAUGAUAGAAUCUUGGUGAAUUCAAGGUCAUUGCUUGGUGUUAUUGUUACCAAAGUUGACCAUAUCUAUUUGUUUGACCUCAACAAAGUCUUAAAUGGGCUUAGCCUACGGAACGCAAGUCAUAACCAACCCCAAUAAAUAAAGAGCAAAAAAGGCAAGGUCAGCAUAAUAAUUAUCCGACUACAAAGGCAAAAUAAAGUUUAGUAGCAUACGGUCUACACAAGUUCAUAUUGCAAAAAAGGGCAAGCAUUUUAAUACUUAAAUUUAGGAAGUUCUAUCUUGGUCUUCAACAACCCUACUAGUUAGGGAGACCUCACCCUCAACCCUGACCCUAUCACCUCGAGGCAAUUGGUCAUGGUUAGUUUCUUGGUCCACACCUGAAGGUUUCUUCUUACCCUUCUCUUUGCUCAUUGUUUCGCUCUACGCCGUCUUUCUUUUGCUUGCGGCCAUAUUGCUCUUUCUUAAUUAUUUUAGUUUCCAAUACCGUUCAUAUCUUCUCAGUAUUGAAAACUGGGGGACUGGUGUUGGGUUUUGAGAAAAUUUUUCUAUUAGUUUCCAACACCAGCAAUGACUUUCUGGUAUUGAAAACUAGGGGACUGGUGUUUGGGUUGGAUUUUUCUAGUAGUAUCUCAAAAUAUAGUCGAUCUUAAUCUACUCAGAACUUAUUGUUGUUGAGCUGGCCUCAUAAGUACAACCUGAAACCUAUGUUGACCACCUGGUUUACAAGUACGACCUAAGAUCUAUGUGAAUGAUCUAGUUUAAGAAUACAACCUCAACGCUAUAUGAGCGAUUGAGAAAUUCAUCUGUCUGAUCUGAAAAUGAAGUAAUCCGACCUUGAAAUUCUCUUGUCCGACCUGAGAAUUAGUUUGACAUAAAAAAUUGCUAGUUAAGAGAACGUGGCCUAAUUUAUAGGGAAGUUGUGUGCCACGAUCUAUUUAAACCACCUCCAACUGACAACCACUUGCAACUGCUGAAGAAAGCGGGCUGAAGUUAAGGAGGUAACCGUACACGACGAAAAGUCUAUUUAAACUGAAGAGCGCAUCAGGUGAAAGGGUUAGAAAAAAUCAACCAAAAACUCUAGAAGUGACCUAUCUAAGAGCCUUAACAGAGCUUACCAGAUUUUGAGUUCUUAGAUCGGAAAAUUCCUUUCUUUUGAACCCAUUCACAAUUCUUCCCUCUCAUUUUCAUCUCUUUAUACAAAAUUUCUGACUUAAGCAUCGGAGGGUCUGCGCCGGAACCCCACCGGCGUAUCCUAACCGUGUUUUCUGGUUGACAGGUACAGAAAAUUGUGGUCAUAUUGGCGUUUGAGCUUGGAUUCGUACUGUAAUUCCCCUAAAGAAACAAAUUCAGCUGUUGAGGUCGUUCUUCGGCAUCAACAC